RNAcentral lists this ribosomal RNA (433 nucleotides) under uncultured bacterium. RNAcentral describes it as "partial 16S ribosomal RNA". It matches the Rfam family "Bacterial small subunit ribosomal RNA", at positions 29 to 507 of the family's 1533-position model. The record is from RNAcentral.
AACGAACGCUGGCGGCAUGCCUAACACAUGCAAGUCGAACGAGACCUUCGGGUCUAGUGGCGCACGGGUGCGUAACGCGUGGGAACCUGCCCUUAGGUUCGGAAUAACUCCCCGAAAGGGGGGCUAAUACCGGAUAAUGUCUUCGGACCAAAGAUUUAUCGCCUUUGGAUGGGCCCGCGUUGGAUUAGCUAGUUGGUAGGGUAAAAGCCUACCAAGGCGACGAUCCAUAGCUGGUCUGAGAGGAUGAUCAGCCACACUGGGACUGAGACACGGCCCAGACUCCUACGGGAGGCAGCAGUGGGGAAUAUUGGACAAUGGGCGAAAGCCUGAUCCAGCAAUGCCGCGUGAGUGAUGAAGGCCUUAGGGUUGUAAAGCUCUUUUACCCGGGAUGAUAAUGACAGUACCGGGAGAGUAAGCUCCGGCUAACUCCGUG